This 254-nucleotide ribosomal RNA is filed under the name uncultured bacterium. Its description in RNAcentral is "partial 16S ribosomal RNA". It matches the Rfam family "Bacterial small subunit ribosomal RNA", at positions 524 to 776 of the family's 1533-position model. The record is from RNAcentral.
UACGUAGGGGCCUAGCGUUGUCCGGAAUUAUUGGGCGUAAAGAGCUCGUAGGCGGUUCGGCAAGUCGGAUGUGAAAUCUCCACGCUUAACGUGGAGGGGCCAUUCGAAACUGCUGUGACUCGAGUCCGGUAGGGGAGUGUGGAACUCCAGGUGUAGUAGUGAAAUGCGUAGAUAUCUGGAAGAACACCAAUGGCGAAGGCAAUGUUCUGGCUCGUUUCUGACGCUCAGGUGCGAAAGCCAGGGGAGCGAACGGG